GACGAACGCUGGCGGCGUGCUUAACACAUGCAAGUCGAACGGAAAGGCCCUGCUUUUGUGGGGUGCUCGAGUGGCGAACGGGUGAGUAACACGUGAGUAACCUGCCCUUGACUUUGGGAUAACUUCAGGAAACUGGGGCUAAUACCGGAUAGGAGCUCCUGCUGCAUGGUGGGGGUUGGAAAGUUUCGGCGGUUGGGGAUGGACUCGCGGCUUAUCAGCUUGUUGGUGGGGUAGUGGCUUACCAAGGCUUUGACGGGUAGCCGGCCUGAGAGGGUGACCGGCCACAUUGGGACUGAGAUACGGCCCAGACUCCUACGGGAGACAGCAGUGGGGAAUAUUGCACAAUGGGCGGAAGCCUGAUGCAGCAACGCCGCGUGCGGGGUGACGGCCUUCGGGUUGUAAACCGCUUUCGCCUGUGACGAAGCGUGAGUGACGGUAAUGGGUAAAGAAGCACCGGCUAACUACGUG
This 468-nucleotide ribosomal RNA is filed under the name uncultured bacterium. RNAcentral's name for it is "partial 16S ribosomal RNA". It matches the Rfam family "Bacterial small subunit ribosomal RNA", at positions 28 to 507 of the family's 1533-position model. The record is from RNAcentral.